Molecule: transfer RNA, 73 nt
Filed under: Candidatus Dadabacteria bacterium
Lineage: Bacteria; Pseudomonadati; Thermodesulfobacteriota; Candidatus Dadabacteria
Description: tRNA-Thr
Rfam family: tRNA
About the family: Transfer RNA (tRNA) molecules are approximately 80 nucleotides in length.
Source: RNAcentral
GCCACCCUAGCUCAGUUGGUAGAGCAACUGAUUCGUAAUCAGUAGGUCAGCAGUUCGAUUCUGCUGGGUGGCU